CCUACAAAAGAAGCACCGGCUAACUAUGUGCCAGCCGCCGCGGUAAUACAUAGGGUGCAAGCGUUGUCCGGAAUUAUUGGGCGUAAAGAGCUCGUANGUCGUUUGUUACGUCGGAUGUGAAAACCUGAGGCUCAACCUCAGGCCUGCAUUCGAUACGGGCAAACUAGAGUUUGGUAGGGGAGACUGGAAUUCCUGGUGUAGCG
Molecule: ribosomal RNA, 203 nt
Filed under: uncultured Actinomycetes bacterium
Lineage: Bacteria; Bacillati; Actinomycetota; Actinomycetes
Description: uncultured actinobacterium partial 16S ribosomal RNA
Rfam family: Bacterial small subunit ribosomal RNA
Source: RNAcentral